RNAcentral lists this transfer RNA (63 nucleotides) under Paraahimia luodianensis. Its description in RNAcentral is "tRNA-Arg". The record is from RNAcentral. Lineage: Eukaryota; Metazoa; Arthropoda; Insecta; Hemiptera; Cicadellidae.
AACAAAGAAGUAAACAAUUACAUUUAGUUUCGACCUAAAAAUAGGAAAUUUAAUCCCUUGUUU